UUAACGAAGUAUCAUAACACUCAAAUGAUCGAAAAAAGAAAAAUUUAUGACAUGAGAGCAAUACGAAAGUUAUGACACCUGUGGUGUCACUUACCCUUGAAAGAAGCGUGCAGUACCCUGGUGAGAACGAAACCUUGUACACGCGAGAGAAAGAGAGA
This is a long non-coding RNA of Rhodamnia argentea, 158 nucleotides long. RefSeq lists it as uncharacterized. The transcript is spliced from 2 exons. NCBI's taxonomy places the organism in Eukaryota, Viridiplantae, Streptophyta, Magnoliopsida, Myrtales, Myrtaceae. The record is from RefSeq and is a predicted model, not a curated record.